Molecule: long non-coding RNA, 576 nt
Filed under: Callithrix jacchus (white-tufted-ear marmoset)
Lineage: Eukaryota; Metazoa; Chordata; Mammalia; Primates; Cebidae
Description: lncRNA (ENSCJAG00000068056.2)
Source: RNAcentral
GACAUGUGUAGUCCCAUUGCAGUCCUAUUAUACCCAAAUAAAUAUAUUUUUGUUUUAUACAGCCACUCUCUAUUUGUUUUUAAAGUUGACAUAGUGUCCAGAAGUGGGAUCUGGCACAAGAUCACUUUAGAAAAGAACUGGCAACUCUUAGAAAGGGAUUGAAGAAUUCACUUGAGCCCUUUCAGCACUCCACUUCCUCAACUCACCUUUUCUCCCCUGGUGCGUCUUCUCUGAGGCUGAGCCUCCCUCCCUUCUGUUUGGUAGAAGCUCUAGACAUUAUUUGGAAUCUGAUUUGGAAAUACAACUUCUACCAGAAUAAUGCUGGCCCAGCUCUUUGAGAUAAUAACGAAAGACUGUUGAAGAGAUAAAGUUGAAGUGAAUAAUGAAAUCCAGGAUCCAAUGAACAGAAUAUUCCACAAAAGAGUGAAAAAUCCAAACUUAAGGAGCAUUACUUUGAGAAAGUUGAAAGAAAAAAACAGUUGUAAAACAUGUAGAGAUGUUCAAAGAUCUAAGAGUAGGAUCAAAACACCAAUCAACCUUCUUCUCUUCUCCAACUCAUCAAAUCUCACAGAAUGA